RNAcentral lists this long non-coding RNA (12059 nucleotides) under Malus domestica (apple). RNAcentral describes it as "long non-coding RNA (MDOM_LNC006193)". Lineage: Eukaryota; Viridiplantae; Streptophyta; Magnoliopsida; Rosales; Rosaceae. The record is from RNAcentral.
AGAAAGCAGCGACCCCAGUGACUGACUUUCAGCUAGUUAUUUCUUUCCUCCCCCCACCCUCUGGUUCAUUUCUGCUUCAGCUGAGCCCUCACAAACGAGGACGUGAUCCGGGGAGGCUCGGGGUCUCUCUCGAACGGGAGGAACAUCAUCGCUUCGUGAACAGCUACCAACCUGCCGCCGGAUUUGAGUGAAACUAGUCCGAAUCUGGCUUAAUGGUACAGAGGUACGUAAAUUUAGAAUUGAAGGGAAUAGAAGUUUUGUUAUUUAAACUUGUAGAUCAUGGCACUGGCUUUAGUUGGAGGGGCUGCUGUUGGAGCACUGUUUGGAGCUCUCUAUGAUGUGGUUAAGGUAAGCCACGGGAAAGACUGUUAUGCAGUAUAGACCCUUACUUGGAGAUCUCAAAUUCACGCUUGAUUCUCUAAGACUGCUGAUGAGUAGAUUUUAUAUUAUAUGUUCAACCUUGUUCUUAAUAUAUUUUGGUAGAAUUUUGAUACUUUGAAUUGUAUUUUCAAUAUAGGACUUUCAACUUCCUCUGGAGCAAAACGUGAUCAACUGGUUGAAUUUUGGAGUGAUUCCAAUUGGAGAACGUUCGUGAGUCACUUGGCUUGAUCGUAUCAAAAUUUGGAAGUUUUCUACCAAGCGGUGAUUUUCUAACGAUAGAAUAAAGGAGCAGUGCGCAGUGCUGAAAAAGUAACGUUUUAAGCUUGAAUUGCGUUUUUGGAGCCCAAGAUGACCUCUAAUGAGUUCGUGGCCUUGUGGAUAUAUGUUUAGAACGUCCCGAUCUUCAAAACAAACUAUAAUGGGCCGGAUUUUCUAAGAUAUUUUAUUAUUAUUUAGUUUCCUACUUGGAAUAAAAGACUUGGUUUUAGGGAUUGUGCGAUGUCUAGGAUGGGAUUUUAAAAAGGUUUUGGCCAGCCCUAGUUUAUUAGGUUCUUUUAUGCGAUCUUGGAGACAAAAAAAAAAAAAAAGGCUAGGGUUUUUGAAGGCUUUCAAAUUUUUACUUUAAGGUAUUGUCAUUCUUAUUCAUUGUAAUAAUAUUUUUAUGAUUUUAAUUAUGAAUAUGCGUAGCUAAUCCGUUUUGCUAGGGCGAAUCCUUAAGUCUUAGUGUGAAUAUGUAAUUUUUGUUUAAUUGCUUAUGAUUGAUUGCAUGCACAAUUUGAAUUAGUGAUCACCGUUUUAAACUAUCUAACCGUCUUAAUGCUUGAUCACUAUGAGGAUCUUUAGAAAAGCAAAUUGAUGCAAUUUUGGUCGAAAGAUUCCCUGAAAUUGACGCUGGCUUCUUGUGAUUAAUAAUUGUAAUUUCACUUAAAAUGAACAUCACGUUUUUAGGGUUGCAUGGUUUUUUCAAAAGGUUUUCAUAAAGCAUAAUAAAUCUCUCAUGUUUAUAUUUAAUCCGAACGUCCGGACAGAUUGCAUGUUAGAUAUACGUUCUAUGUUGAAGGUUCCAAGUAGAAUAUAUAUUAGGAUAACCUAACCUUCAAAGUGGCAUGUGCAGAUCAUAAGUAAUUGGUAACAAUACAUAGGAUUGCUAGGUGAUGGUAAAACCCUAGUGCUUUUAUAAAUUGGUAUUCAAAACUCGUUUAUUUUAUUGUAUUAGUUUUGGAGGAAUUUACUAUUUGUUUUUAAUUAAAAUUAAUUUUUAAUAUUACCCAAUUUCAAAAUUUCUUUCUCAAUUUUUAGUUUUAAAUAAUUAACUAGGAAUUGUUUUUACAUAAAUGAUUGAAAUAGUCCUUGUGCAGGAGAUGUUUUUUUUUUUUUUUAAGUUGUGCAGGAGAUGGUAAAGUUGUUAAGAUUUCCUAGCCGUUAGGGUUUGGUCUCCUAGUUUGUAGGCUUGUUUUCAGAAGUUGUUAAUAAUCCCUAUUCUUUAGGGACCAGUUAUUUAGUUUGAUUCUGAUUUAGUCGUGUACCACGUUGUUAGGGUUGUGAAACGUGGGCUGCAUAUUUUCUUUCUUAAUGAAUAACCCAGAUUCUCCCAGCUAUCGAGUGUAUAAGCAAACAUAAUAUUUUCGUGUUUUUUCUUGUGUGUUCAUCCUAGGUUUCUAACAGGAGAGAGGUGAUGUGAUCAAGGAGACAUCGUUUGCAGCAAGUAACAUAGAGGAAGGCGUCAAGCUAAUGGAAGGGAGUGGUGUGUUACAAGACCAAAACGGAAUCAAAGGUUUGUACUAAGUCGUUGAACCACCAUCACCGAAAGUUAUAUUGGAUGUACUGAAUCUGCAGGGAACAAUGGAUGUGGAGGAGACAUCAGAUUCCACGGUGAAUAUGGAGGCAGGGGUCAAGCAAAUCAAGGAGAGUGGUGUGGUGAAAAAUCAAAUUGAUAUUGCAGUAACUGAACCCCCGUUGCUUAGAGAUGGAUUGGAAGUAGCGAACAUGCAGGGAACAAGGGAUAAUAAGCAAAUUGAGGGGAUAGGAGUGGUCGCGCUCCAAGCUCCAGUUUCUGAAUGUGAACUUCCAUCGCUUACACUCGAAUCGAACGUCCAAUUUGGGCUCUUAGAUUCAAUGAGUAGCUUCGAAGACAACCAGCAAGUACUAGACUGGCAGCAGCAGCAGCAAAACUCUUAUAUGGUACGACUAAAUUCUUACAUUCUCUUCUUUUUAACUGUGUAGUCGGAAGCCUAGUUUUGAACCUUAUUCUGAGACCAUAUCAUUUUUCAUGAACAGGAAGAGGCGCUGAACAGCCAGCAGCAGUCACUGAAUUUCAGUAAGUACUUCAAUUUGCCAACAGAGAAGGCAGGACUUGAGUCUGAAGUUGAAUUUGAGCCACUACCGGGUUUAUCCCAAGCCAUUGACACGAGCCUUGCAUAUGUGCAGAGUAGGCAACAUGUUGAUGCUCCAGAGCCUCAUUACCUAAAUAGAACUCGAUUGUCUCAGCAUGUUAGUCAGAUAAAGUCAAAUGCUGGGUUUACCUGGGGAAAGUAUGGGUAAGAACAAGUGGAACGUAGUAAAUAUCCGUGUAGUUAUUACAAGUGUACAUAUCCCAAAUGUCCAACAAGGAAGAAGCUUGAGAGAUCAUUGAAUGGAGAGAUUACUGAAAUCGUAUACAAGGGAAGUCACAACCAUCCUAAGCCCCAGUCUACAAGACAAUCAACCUCUCGACCAAUUGAGCGUUCUUCAUACGGACUCUUUGAUCAAUUGGCCCCAAAAAUAUCCAACCCAAAAGUUGAAUCAGCCACGACGCUGGAUGAUUUGGAAAAAAAAUCUCUGACCAGUAAUUCAGGAGUUGAAGAUGAAAAUGAGCCUGUCAUCAAAGAAUGGUAAUCUCGGACGAUUCUAGUUAGGACUGUAUAUGUCAUAUGAUAGCCAAAAUUGCAUAUGCGGUAAUGGUUUUUUUUUUUUUUUUUUUUGUUUUUUGUUUUUUUUGUUCUUCUUUUGCAGGGAUGUAGGAAACGCAAAUGAUCAGACAACUCAUACCUUUUCUGCUUCUGGGAGUAGCAUUGUAAAAGAACCCAAACUAUGGUGAAGACAAUAAGUGAAAUUGAUCUUGUGGAUGAUGGAUAUAAGUGGAAGAAAUAUGCACAGAGAGUAAUAGAUGGAAAUUUUCUUCCAAGCAAACACUUCCCCAACUCGGCUGCUUAUAUCCUAUUCAACUGUUUUCCAAUCUGUAGGGCCUACUACAAAUGCACGUAAAGGAAACACAAGCACGACAUUCUUGGAAAAUAUUAGUAUUUUAAGUAUUAUAUUGUUUGAGUUUUUUUAUAAGUUUUCGGCCUAACAUGUUAGUAUUAGGGUUAGAUUUGUUCGCUAUAAAUAUAAUGUUUCGUAUCCCUGAAGAAUAACUUAGUCACGAUGUAACCUUUUUGGAUUUUGUAACUGUUCCGACAUUAUUCUUAUUAUUUUGUAAUCUUGUUUGUACCGUCCUCUGAUAUUCAAUAUCAAUAUCAGAGCAUGUGUGAUCAUUCGGGAUUUAAUCUAUUAUUGAUAUGUAUCAAUCAGUUGUUUGUUUGAUAUUAGUUUUGAAAAAAAAAAAAUUGAAUAUGUUUGCUCGGAAGUUGCACCACUCCCAGAUCCCUGCAUACCCAAAACCCCCAGCCAGCAACCGCCGCUUCAAACUUGCCGUGCCCAAUUUUUCUACAACCUGCCGCUGCUGUUAACUGGAGCCCAGAAACAUACCCACAUCGCCACCACGCCCACCAUGCCCUCCUUGAACUAGAACUCGACCUGCAAUCUGACCUCCGCAUCAGACCUGUCUCUGUCAAGUCGUACCAGAUAGAAAACUACUGCCCAGAAAGGGGUAUUUAUCAAAUAUAGCUAAAUAUUAACCCUGAAUUUAAAAAAUGUCAAUUUUUACAAAAAAAAUUCAAAUAUAUCUAAAAUCUCACUUACGUAGAUAUAAAUACCCUCAAAUUCAAUAUCCAACAAUUUGUAGUUGAUUGUAAAAGUUUGGUCAUGCGUUUUCAAUAUAAUCAAAUAGAACACAUUCAUGUCUUCGAUUAUACUGAAAAAGCAUGGAAAAGUUUUUACCAUUCAAUUAUAUAUUGAAUGAGUAUGGACAAAUUUUGCCAUGUCUUAGUUGGGUAGAUUAUAAAAUGUAAAAAGGCCUGUAGGGAACAAAGUCGAAUAUAUAUUUUUUUUUUUCCAACCUGGGAUUGUCCUUGUUGCUGAGAAAUAAUGAUCUAUUACACCAAUGAAAAUUCUAACCCUUCGGUUCUGGAGUUACAGAGUUUAACUGAGAAUAAUGAGUUCAGGUUAAGAGCGACCAAAAUUGCUGAUAACACCGUCUCAUUAACUUUGCGCAUUGCUGAUACAUGUGGUAAGUACAUUUGCCGUGCAAAAAGUUUUACUUCCCCCCCUUAUUUUCCUGAACUACACCUGAAUAUUAUUUGUUUAUACAGGUCGUGUGAGGAAUAUCCAUUUUGAGUUCUAUCUGGAUUCUGAUACCGCAAUUUCAAUUGCUGGGGAGAUGGUUGAGCAACUUGAUCUUUCGCAUGAAGAUGUGUCUGUCAUAGCUGAGUUAAUUGAUAACUUGAUCAUGAAGCUAGUACCUGGCUGGAAACCUUCAUCAGAAGGUUCAUCAUGUGGAACAAAUAGUUCAUAUGGGGAUCAUCCUGCACCGCAAAAUGUUGUCUCACAUUUUGCAAAUGCGGAGGACCGAGAUGACCAAGCAUCAAUGAUUUUAGAUACUUCGGCUACCUCGGCUGAGUAUGGUGUCCCUACUGCCUCAGGUGCCAGUAAUGUCAAAGUAUGGAGUCGGCUAAAUACAGUUCUGAUGAAUGCUGUAAAGCUUCAGAUGGUUACGGUACCAGUCCAGAUUGUAUGGUUCAGGGUGCGGUCAGGGAGAAGAGUUACGAAGCUGAUUCUGGUGAUUCAGUUGUGAUGAAUGAGGUACGCCCUGACAUGUCAAGCAUUUGUUCCUUAUCUGAGUGUUGUGCUAGGAUAGCACCAAACCUUUUAGAACCAACUCUUUUUAACCCACAGGAAAUAUAUCAAAUGAAAAUGCAAGAACAAAAUAGAGAAAAUAACACCAAGAUUUUAACGAGGUUCCUCAACAGUCAGUGUAACUGGAGUACAUCCUCGGAGCAGUAGGAGUUUACCCAAUAAUUCACUAUCAACCAAAUGGGAGUUUACAAAGUGUUGGCAAUCUCACAACCCAAAUAACCCAAUACACCCAAUAGCUCCCACACACCAAAGAAACAAAUAGAGGAUAUAAUGAAUAAUUUCUUCUCUAUACAUAUAGCUCAAAGCUAUUACAACAACAACUACUUUGGUGGAUGAUUACUAACCAAAUGAAGCAGCAACUUCUUCUUUCUUUUGGGCUCUCUACAACUCUCCUUGCUCUCGGCAGAAAAUGAGCUCACUUACUGAAAAUGAGCUCUUCCUUCCUUAUUUCAUCUAUCCGAAAAAAACCUCAUAAUUAUGGCUUUAAAAAAAACCACAAAACAUGCCACAAAACAAGGAAACAUAAUCAUGUUGUCCUUUUUUUUCUUUAUAAUUUUUUAUAGCCAAAAGUUGGCCACUUGGCCACAUACUCCAACAAUCUCCACCUUGGCCAAGUUCCGAAAAACGUCAUGAUAAGCCAACCAACACAAUUAACACACAACAUCACUCCCAAACACUAGCAAGAAAACAACUCAUGCCGAGCCAAAUGCUCCAAAACUCCUACUGCUCAACGCCUUCUUUAUAUAGGCAAAAUAUGAGCCAAGUUCAAGCAAUGAACAAACUUGGCUACACCAACAACCUUAGUCAACAUAUCAGCGGGGUUGUCUUUAGUUGGAAUCUUCUGGAGAAGGAUUUCUCCUUCACCAACAAUUUCACGAACAAAGUGAUAACGCACAUCUAUGUGCUUGGUCCUCGCAUGAUGAACCUGAUACUUAGCCAAAUAAAUGGCACUUUGACUAUCACAAUGUACCUCCACCUGCUUCUGAUCAACCCCCAAAUCUCUAAUCAGCCCAUGUAUCCAAAUGACCUCCUUUAUAGCUUCAGCAACUGCCAUAUAUUCAGCCUCUAGUAGACAAGGCAACAAAUGACUGCAAAAUGGACCUCCAACAAACUGGUCCUUUAGCCAUAGUAAACACAUAACCUGUUGUAGACUUCCUUCCAUCCAGAUCACCUGCAUAAUCUGAAUCAACAUAACCAAUUGCAAAAUGACCAAUACCAGAGUCAUCUCUCUCAAAGCAUAAACCAACAUCUCGAGUACCAUGGAGAUAUCUCAAUAUCCACUUAGCUGCUUACCAAUGCUCUUUACCUGGAUUAUGCAUAUAUCGACUAACCAUGCCAACUGCAUGAGCAAUAUCCGGUCUAGAACAUACCAUUGCAUACAUCAAACUACCAACCAAAUUUGCAUAUGGUAUAUUUUUCAUUUGCAGCUUCUCUUUAUCAGUUUUAGGACAUUGUAGAGAACUCAAUUUAAAAUGAGGAGCCAAAGGGGUACUAACCGGUUUGGUUGAAUCAUGAACUCCAAACUUCCGGAUCAACUUCUCAAGGUAUUGUCUUUGAUUCAAACUGACCAAACCCUUCUCUCUAUCUCUAGUGAUCUCCAUGCCAAGGAUCUUCUUCGCUUCACCAAGAUCCUUCAUCUCGAACUCGUUCUUCAUUUGUUUCUUCAAUUUCUCAAUCUCUUCAACAUUCUUUGAGGUAAUCAACAUAUCAUCAACAUAUAUCAAUAAAUAAAUGAAAGAUCCAUCUUGCAACUUUUUGAAGUACACACAAUGAUCAUAUUGACUUCUAGAAUAAUUUUGGCCUCUCAUAAAUUUAUCAAACCUCAAAUACCAUUGCCUUGGAGAUUGCUUCAAGCCAUAAAGUGAUUUCUUCAAUUUGCAAAACAAAUUUUCCUUCCCUUUCACUAUAUACCCAUCCGGUUGACACAUAUAGAUCUCUUCAUUCAAAUCACCAUGUAGGAAAGCCGUCUUCACAUCGAGUUGCACAAGCUCAAGAUCAUAUUGUGCAACAAGAGCUAACAUAAUACGAAUUGAGGAGUGCUUCACAACCGGAGAAAAGAUUUCAUUGUAGUCAAUGCCCUCCCUUUGUGCAUACCCUUUAGCAACUAAUCUUGCUUUAAAUCUCACAUUGCUUUUCUCAUCAGCAUCUUCCUUCUUGGCAUACACUCAUUUGCAACCGAUAGCUUUCUUGCCCUUAGGCAAUUUAGCUAACUCCCAAGUCUUGUUCUUCAAGAGAGAAUUCAUCUCAUCACCCAUGGCAUUGCACCACCUCUUCUUCUCCUCACUCUCAAUGGCUUCCUCGAAAUUGGAUGGAAUAUCAUCAAUGAUAAUUGGAAGAGCAAAAGCAACAUAGUCACUAUACCGAGCUGGCUUGGUAAUUUGUCUCUUUCCUCUGUUCUUGGCAAUAGACUCCUGAGGUGAAACUUGCUCUUCAACUUGAAUAGAAUCUUCAAGUUCAACUUCUUUAACAUCCUCAUGGUCUCCAACUUCUUCACUUGUAGUGGCUUCGACAUCAGCGGUAAUAGGAUUUGAAGUAUUAGAGGCAACUUUCUCAAGCUCCACCUGUUGGACAUUUUUCACAUUCUUCUCAGAGUCUUUGUACAUACUUUCUUCAUCAAAUGUCACAUCUCUGCUGAUUAUAAGUUUUUUCAUCUCUGGGCACCACAACCGAUAACCUUUUACACCACUACUAAAACCAAGAAAGAUAGCCUUUUUGGCUAUAGGAUCAAGUUUAUUUUCAGUCACAUGAAAAUAAGCAGGUGAACCAAAAAUACGGAUAUAGUCAUAAUCAGAAGAAGGUUUUCCAGUCCAUACCUCCAUUGGUGUCUUACCCUGAACAGCAGUUGAGGAUAACCGGUUGAUGAUGUAACAUGCAUAAUUAACUACUUCUGCCCAAAAUGACUUGCUUAAACCCGACUGAGACAACAUACAUCUAACUUUCUCAAGCAAGGUUCGAUUCAAUCUUUCUGCAACUCCAUUUUGUUGUGGAGUUCCCCGAACACUGAAAUGUCUCACAAUUCCUUCUUCUUUGCAAACUUUAAAGAAAGGGUCGGAUGUGUAUUCACCACCAUUAUUCGAUCUCAAAAUCUUAAUCUUUCUCCCAGUCUGGUUCUCAACCAUUUUCUUCCAACUCAAGAAAAUGCUCAAUACCUCACUCUUGUGCUUCAUAGUGUAAACCCAAGACCUUCUUGAAUAAUCAUCAACAAAGGUCACGAACCAAUGUCUACCACUCAAAGAGGGAGUCUUUGUAGGACCCCAAACAUCCGAAUGCACAUAAUCAAGAAUGCCCUUUGUCUGAUGUACAGCAGUACCAAACUUCACUCUAGUUUGCUUCCCCAAGACACAAUGCUCGCAGAAAUCAAGUUUACAAGUCGUGGCACCUUUUAGAAGGCCUUUUUUUCACAAGCCCUUGUAGAGCUUUCUCACCGGCAUGGCCUAAUCUCAUAUGCCACAAUCUAGUAGUAUCUGAAUCAGAUGUGCCCAUAUUUUCAGAGACUACAGAUGCUUCACCUGUCACAAUGCUUCCCUACAAUAAAUACAAAUGGCCACAUCUAGGAGCUUUCAUCAUAACAAGUGCACCAUAAGUAACUUUCAAUGUCUGUCCAUCUGAAUGAAACCUAAAACCCUUGGAUUCGAAAGUACCCAAAGAAAUAAGAUUUUUCUUCAAAUUCGGUACAUAUCGAACACUUGUCAACUCUUUAACCAUGCCAUCAUGCAACUUCAAAUGAACUGUACCAAUCCCUUUUGUUGUGCAAGGAUUGUCAUCUCCCAUGAACACAACACCACCAUCAAACUCUUUCAAGCUUGAAAACCAAUCCUUGUGAGGAGUCAUAUGAUGAGUACAACCCGUAUCCAACACCCACUUAGGGCUGGUUUGGUAUUGUUGUGCUUUGAAAAAAAGCUGAUGUGAGAAUAAGCGGCUGUGCUGUGAGAAUAAGCGGCUGUGAAAUAAAUCAGCUGAGUGUUUGGUAAACUUUUUUGUAAAAGUGCUUUUGAAAAAAAAAAAAGCAGUCUGAUAGUGAGUCUUUUCAUUAAAGAAGCACUGUAGCUCCGUGUGCUUUGAAAAAAAGCCAGUUUUCCAAAGCUACAAAUAGCAGCUUCAGCUUUUUCCUUUGAUUUCAGCUUAUUCUCACAGCAGCUUCUAAAAUAAGCCCUUUUUUUUCAGUUUACCAAACACCUAAAACCCUCACAGCUUUUUUUCAUGGGUGCUUUUUUUUUAAGCAUCUCACUCCCAAACUAGGUCUUAGUAGCACAAUCAAAUGAUGAGGAAGUGGUUAAAGCAAAAUAAAAAAGAUCUGUUUCAACCUCAACAACAUUGGCUUCAGAACUUUCUUUUCCUUUGGUCUUCAACUUAGGACAAUCUUUCUUCCAAUGGCCCUUAUUAUGACAAAAGGCACAUUCAUCCCUUUCCAAAGGUUUUCUACCUUUAGAGUUUCCUCUAGGUCGAGACUGUGAUUUUUUCCUACUAGAAGAUGAUCUUCUCUCCGAUGAUCUACCUCUAACAAAUAAAGCUUCAGAGGUACUAUCAUGAUUUUUAUCUCUAUGCCUCAUUUCAUAAUUCAUCAAGGCAUUUGACACAUCUUCAAAUUUCACAGUUUCUUUACCAUGCAUAAUAGUGGUAACAAAAUGCUCAUAAGAGUCCGGCAAGGAAUUCAACAAUAUUAAGGCCUUAUCUUCAUCCUUAAUAUCCUCAUCUAAAUUUAACAAGUCGGCAAUCAACUUAUUAAAAGCAUCAAGGUGUCUAAUCAUUUUUUUUGUACCUUCUUUGUAUUAUUGGAAGCGGUAGAGCUUUUUCUUCAAGUGUAGCCGGUUCUCUGCACUCUUCGUCAUAUACUUGUCUUCCAAUUUUUGCCACAACACACUUGCUAAUAUCUCCCGCAUCACAAAAUACUUCUGAGUUUUUGCAAGGCACAACCGAAUUGAAGAGCAAGCCCACAAAUUUAAUUUCUCCCAUUCCGGCUUCGACAUAGCUUCCGGCUUCUCUCCCAAAGCGGCAAGUAGAUCUUGUUGAGCCAACACAUCUUUGACCUCACAUUGCCACAUCCCGAAGUUGUUUGUGCCAUCAAACUUUUCCACUUCGAACUUUGCAUUUUGCACCGUAGUUCUUGCAAACCCGGAGCUGCUUCCAAAAAGAUUCUCAUCUUGCCCGUCUGACAUCUUUGGCAACUAAACAGUACCCAAGAGCAACUAGUGCUCUGAUACCAAUUGUUGUGCUAGGAUAACACCAAACCUUUUAGAACCAACUCUUUUUAACCCACAGGAAAUAUAUCAAAUGAAAAUGCAAGAACAAAAUAGAGAAAAUAACACCAAGAUUUUAACGAGGUUCCUCAACAGUCAGUGUAACUGGAGUACAUCCUCGUAGCAGUAGGAGCUCACCCAAUAAUCCACUAUCAACCAAAUGGGAGUUUACAAAGUGUUGGCAAUCUCACAACCCAAAUAACCCAAUACAUCCAAUAACUCUCACACACCAAAGAAACAAAUAGAGGAAGAAAUAUAAUGAAUAAUUUCUUUUCUAUACAUAUAGCUCAAAGCUAUUACAACAACAACUACUUUGGUGGAUGAUUACUAACCAAAUGAAGCAGCAACUUCUUCUUUCUUUUGGGCUCUCUACAACUCUCCUUGCUCUCGGCAGAAAAUGAGCUCACUUACUGAAAAUGAGCUCUUCCUUCCUUAUUUCAUCUAUCCGAAAAAAGCCUCAUAAUUAUGGCUUUAAAAAAAGCCACAAAACAUGCCACAAAACAAAGAAACAUAAUCAUGUUGUCUUUUCUUUUCUUUAUAAUUUUUUAUAGCCAAAAGUUGGCCACUUGGCCACAUACUCCAACACUGAGCUGUCUCUAGCAAAUAAAGAUCGAUACAAUGAGCUAAAGGGGGAGCUUGAUGUUAUUGAUAGGCAAUACCAUCGAUGUCUUCUCGAGCUCUUGAGGUUGAGGGAAGAAGAAAAUCAGAGUGCAAAGAAGAGGUGGAUAGCGAAAAAGAAAUUAGGUGUUAAUUGAUGUACUAUUUAGUGUUCUCUGUCGUCUUUUUAAUUCCUAUAACAUUCGUUUUAUACUUGUAAUUGUUUUUUCAUCAAGAAAUGCGGCGAAGCGAAUCAUGCCCGUGUUUUUAUGCGUCGAUUUGGUACAUACAUUUGGUUUUACGGUUACUAAUAAUGAUAUUUUCUUUGUUCCAUUGCUUGCCAAAAAAAAAAAAAAAUGCAAAAAAGUGACGGCCUGUGCUAAUACUUCAUAAUUUCGACAAUAAUCCACAAAUGAUAGAGAUAAUGUAUACAUAUAUAUUUGGAUACUUGGACGAAUCUAGAAGCAGAGAUCCCAGUUGACUGACUUUCAGCUAGUUUUUACUUUCCUCCUCACACCCUCUGGUUCAUUUAUGCUUCACCUGAGCCGUCACAAACGAGGACGUGAUCCAGGGAGGCUCGGGGUCUCUCUCGAACGGGAGGAACAUUCAUCAUCGCUUCAUCAACAGCUACCAACCCCCCACCGGAUUUGAGUGAAACUAUUCCGAAUCUGGCUUAAUGGUACAGAGGUACGUAAAUUUAGAAUUGAAGUGAAUAGAAGUUUUGUUAUUUAAACUUGUAGAUCAUGGCACUGGCUUUAGUUGGAGGGGCUGCUGUUGGAGCACUGUUUGGAGCUCUCUAUGAUGUGGUUAAGGUGGCCGUGGGAAAGACUGCUAUGCAGUAUAGACCCUUAC